GCUUGCUUUUACCAACCAACCCUUUAAUUCUGCAUUCCUCAGGGGCACAGAUAAGUCUCAAGUACAUUUAGGGACCUGUUCGCCUCUAGGACCCUGAGGCGGGCAGGUAAGAUUGUGGCCGAUCCCUCCCACCCGGGUCACAAACUCUUUGAGGUUCUUCCCUCCGGCAGAAGGAUGCGGUCCAUCAGGACCAAAACCUCACGCCACAAAACCAGCUUCUUCCCGGCCGCAGUUGGCCUUAUUUACAAGGCCCGGGACCCCCACCUGACCUGGACUCUUAUCCCACCCCCACACCCUAAGUCUGUGUUACAUUAACACACAUUACAUUGCACAUUGCUCAUCCACAUUGCACUCCUGUUUUGCUUUUUGCACUCUACUUUCCACUUUACUUUUUUUAUAUUCAUUGUUUAUAUAUUUGUAUCGUAUAUAUUGUGUUUUUUGGUUCUUAUGUGUAGUACUUUUCUUAUGUGUAGUACUUAUUUGUGAUUUUAUGUUAUGUGUAGUACUUAUUGUGUUUCUAUGUUUUUAUGUUUUAUGUUUACUGUAUGCACCUUCACACCAGAAAAAAUUCCAAGUAGGUGUAAACCUACUUGGCAAUAAAUCCUAUUCUGAUUCUGAUUCUGAUUCUGAUUCUGAUUCUGAGGAAGGAAUCAGCUUUGGGUAACACUUAAAAUGACAUCACAUUGUGUACUUAGGCUGUAUAGUAAAGUGCAACACGAUACAUUUCAUGAUGACAGUAAUCCUGAUCUUAACACAUGUAUUUGUUUGUAAAGUGCAAAGUAUCAGUAUGCUGUUACUCAUCACCAAUCAGUGAGUUACGCAAUACUUGAUUUAUGUGUGAUAAAUGGUAACUUUACAGACAAUGUAAACUAUGUUGUCUAAUAAUGUUUUAACUAAUUAAAAAAAAAAAAUGAUUUUCUUUUGUUUUGUUUUUCUUUUUUUAUGUCUUUUUUUUAAGUGUCUUUGAGAACUGUGAAAAGCGCUAUAUAAAUGUGAUGUAUUAUUAUCAUUUUUAUUAUUAUUAUUAAUAAAGGUGGAAUAUGCAACAGAUUUGGAUGUUUGGAUGGACUUACAAUGAACAUGUGCAGAUGUGCAUGCUCCGUUUAGCCAAAGGGAUUUAGUUAACAGGUUCCCCCCGCAGACAUUAGCCAAUGGGAUUUAGUUAACAGGUUCCCCCCGCAGACAUUAGCAACAUUCAGACCAUCCUGAUCGUCGACAGGGCUGGAGUUUAAAGGUUCCCCCUGCAGACAUUAGCCAAUGGGAUUUAGUUUACAGGUUCCCCCUGCAGACAUUAUCAACAUUCAGACCAUCCUGAACAUCGACAGGGCUGGUCCAGUUUUGCAGCCCAAGGCGAGAUGUUUUCCGAGCCUCGUCUAAAUCUGACUUUCA
Long non-coding RNA from Clupea harengus (Atlantic herring), 1389 nucleotides. The record is from Ensembl. Lineage: Eukaryota; Metazoa; Chordata; Actinopteri; Clupeiformes; Clupeidae.